RNAcentral lists this unclassified non-coding RNA (205 nucleotides) under plant metagenome. RNAcentral's name for it is "partial contains small subunit ribosomal RNA, internal transcribed spacer 1, and 5.8S ribosomal RNA". The record is from RNAcentral.
GUAGGUGAACCUGCGGAAGGAUCAUUAAUGAAUCAAAUUCGGUCUUCUGUGCUGGUGGCAACACAUGUGCACGUCGAUCGUAAUUCCAUCCUCCUCCCAACCGUCCAUGUGUGUGUUUGGUCGACCUCUGGUCGAAGAGUUGUCACCCUCGGGUGCGAUUCGUUCCAAAUGCACCUUGGUUAUUUCACCCACUCUGGGUAUCAGA